Molecule: ribosomal RNA, 394 nt
Filed under: uncultured bacterium
Lineage: Bacteria
Description: bacterial SSU rRNA
Rfam family: Bacterial small subunit ribosomal RNA
Source: RNAcentral
GUGUCAGCAGCCGCGGUAAUACGGAGGGUGCAAGCGUUGUUCGGAAUUACUGGGCGUAAAGGGCGUGUAGGCGGUUGUGUAAGUCAGACGUGAAAUCCUUCGGCUCAACUGAAGAACUGCGUCUGAAACUGCAUGACUAGAGUGCAGAAGAGGGAAACGGAAUUCCUGGUGUAGAGGUGAAAUUCGUAGAUAUCAGGAGGAACACCGGUGGCGAAGGCGGUUUCCUGGUCUGACACUGACGCUGAGGCGCGAAAGCGUGGGGAGCAAACAGGAUUAGAUACCCUGGUAGUCCACGCCGUAAACGGUGGGUACUGGGUGUGGGAGGUGUAAUGCCUUCUGUGCCGAAGCUAACGCGUUAAGUACCCCGCCUGGGGAGUACGGCCGCAAGGUUGAA